UUUAUUUUGUCAUUUCAAAGUUGGAUUCUUAGACAACCUUUUAGAGAGAGAACCCUAGAGAGAAGGAUUUCUCUCCCACCCACCCCUUUUCGUGCUUCUUCCGAAAAGCUUGGUCGGAAUCCCAGAGUGCUGGAGUGUCGCCGUUGACUAAAGUAUUGUCUGUUUCGCGAACCGUCACCAGAGCACAUUCCGACAUUUGGAAGCAACUGCCACCGAAAGCGCCGCCUUUCCGCCGCCAUUGGAUCGUUCCUUUGGGCAAUCGUUUGUUGUUGUUCGUGUAAUGGAGGAACUUUGUCAAUAGAGUGAAACUUCUCAUAGCAGGAAAACGAGAAUGUAAGGUUAAGAUAAGAGAUGUGGGUGUUCUUUAGAAAUUUUGUGAACCUGUAUGAAAGUGAAAGCAAGCAAGAGAGGAGGCUUGGAAUUUAGAGCACCAAGAGUUAAAGUUUUCUUUCCUAGAAAAUGAGAUUGUAGGCCUAUGUCAAGCCCUCAAUGAUGUUUUGGAUAGCAUGACCAAGAAGGGUUUUCCAGUUCCUGUUUAACGUGGAUGAUUUUGACAAUUUAUUUGUUGAUACGUUCUUAGGAAAUAAGAAUGACAUUCCAUAUGCUACAUCAGAAGAAGAGCUAUUGUUAGUUAAUAUGUUGAUGUACAAUGAAUUGUUCUUUCCCAUUAAUUUGAAUUGAAUUUCAUUGUAUGAAAGUGGUUGAAUGAGAUUUAUUUUAUGUUUUA
Long non-coding RNA from Vigna angularis (adzuki bean), 727 nucleotides. RefSeq lists it as uncharacterized. The record is from RefSeq and is a predicted model, not a curated record. Lineage: Eukaryota; Viridiplantae; Streptophyta; Magnoliopsida; Fabales; Fabaceae. The transcript has 3 exons.